Long non-coding RNA from Papaver somniferum (opium poppy), 1751 nucleotides. RefSeq lists it as uncharacterized. The transcript has 2 exons. The record is from RefSeq and is a predicted model, not a curated record. NCBI's taxonomy places the organism in Eukaryota, Viridiplantae, Streptophyta, Magnoliopsida, Ranunculales, Papaveraceae.
UCCAAGAUUACAGUCCAAAUUGGGGCAGUUUCCCAAUUUUCCCAAAUCCGAGUGAUGAUAUAGUAAUGCAUCCUGGAGAUAUCGAAUUCAAGGUUUACAUUUUCAUCCCCUUUAAAAUAUAGUUUCCUUCUCUUCGUUAUCAUCAUCUUCUUUUAGUAGAAAAACUACAAGGUGAUAAUGGUUUUAUUUUUAGAAGUGCAAAGGGGAAUUAGAAGAAACAACGAGAAAAAAGAGAGGAUACAGGAUAAAAGGUUACAGCCUUACAGGUUCGGGCAUAUGGACUACUUGACUAACGGAUAUUAUGCUUUGAUUCCAUUUCUUUUUGAUUUCUUACUUUUACUUAGUCAACCUUUUUUGGCUUAUGAAUUGCUGACUAACAAAUAUUAUAAUUUCUCUAAGUUGAACUGGUGACAAUAGACAUUUUAAUUUCUUUGCAUGCCACUGCAGAGACAGAUUUGGAGAUAAAAACUUUUGCAUCUAAUGUACUGCUGCUGGCAGAUUCUAAUAUUAUGAGGUUGUAUUGGAUUUUUAUGCACGUUGGUAAGUUUAUAGCGUGUAAUACCCGUAAUCUGCAUAAACAAAAUGUAACCAACUCUCUGCCUAGGUUUAGGUAAGGUGUGUUUUUCACAAAACCCUUCUCUUUGCAAGUACAUUAUCAAAUAUCCUUCUCUCUCUAAAGGUGAUUAAGAGCUGAAUUGACAAGGUUUUCGGUGGAAAAUUAGGAACUCCAGAUUAUGUUGUACUUAGUAACUUCGGUUUUUCUGUUUUGUGUUCUAUACUUUUGAAAAUACUGCAGCUCAAAUUAAGGUAUCUAAGAUCUUAUGUGGUUUCUACACUAGAUAUCGUCAUACACCAUGAUACUUUUACAAAUGAGUCAAAAUUUUGUAUUAUCUAACCUCAACGGAUUUGCUGUUUUUGUUUGAAUAACUGUUGUCUUUAUGAUAUAGUGUUAUUGUUUGGAUUUUGUGCUCUCUCUUAAUUGAGAAUCGCCACAAGUGAAGAAACAAUAAUGAAGUUUUGAUCUCCAUCUGAAUCUGUAGGGAUUCACCAAAUUCAGGUUUUAGUUCAUAAAAUGGUUUUUUCAUAUUCGAUGCUCGCAUUGUGUAAUCCUUAUCUUAGGUUGCGAAGAAAAAACAAAGUGAACAUAUCAAGCUUCCAGAGUGUGCGUAGAUGGAUGAGUUACGUCUUUGGUUUUUUGGGCUAUAGGCUUUUUAAACUUUUUCUUUAUGGAUUCUUAUGGAUCUAUGACCCUAAAUAUUAAUUACUACACUUUGAUGCAUUCCUGCAUACAAACCAUUCGUAGAUGGUUCUAUAUUUUAGUUGCAUUUAUGUUGUUUACUAUAUUAUUUUUGAGCAUUUAUUCAGUUCGAUGGUUCUAACCGAUAAAAAGACAACAACAGGGAAACCACAUUCAUGGGAUUUUCAACGCAUGUGCAAAGAGAGGCUAAGAAAUCAAAAUGUGAUCCUACUAAAGAACUGAAGGAUGGCCCCAUACAUACGGGAGGUUACAAGCCUGUGUUAGGCGGCAAGAGGUUGUACUUCACUUCUUUCAAUAAUGUCAAAGUUGCAACCGGAGAUAACUGGAGUUCCAAGGUACAAAGAAAAAUUCAGUUACACAAACGAAGAAUGAACUAAAAUUGAAAUCCUCUAGAAAAAAGAGUGACAACAAAGUGGUAGUCCAAUGAAUUCUAUUAACGUUAGAUUUGAUUAUUCUAAGUUAAUUUCAUUAGUCACAGUUUUUAAUUCUUGCA